UAAAGAAAAAGAUUGAACAUUUGGCGACCGCUGACUUAGCUAGCAUAAAAGGUUGUUUAGAACAGGAGACUUUUCUAACUUUGUUCUUGAAAGUCAGUUACUCUGUCGUGGAGGAGUAAUAAGAAAUGGGCCUUGCGGUACGUAUGAAGGAGCUCUCCAUAACAAGAGAUCGUUUGAGCAUAAGUAUGAUCCAUCGUUUGCGUCAUUGGGCAAUCUACCGGUCUUUGAUUUAACAAAUUGGCUAUGAAGACGGUGUAUAAUUCGAACGGUGUGAUGUGGUGAUUUCCCAUCGCAUAUUUAAGUGCACAUUUACAGCUUUUUACCAUUGAUUCAACACAACCGUUUUGAUGAGGGGCAUUUUGACGAUGAACAUGUUGAUCCUUCAAUGGAACUUGUAUUUGGUGGCACAUUUUUUAUAUGUCUCCACAUAUCGCAACUGGUCGUUCUCUAAAUCGUAAGAUUACUCCAAGCAUGUUAUUUAGGAGGUCAGGUCCUUUAACCCAAAACUCGUUCAGGCUCUUUCCUUUGUGCGUUGCUGACGAAUUGAAGACAAUACGGACAGGUGUACUCUUCUUUUCGGGACGUAAGAGCUCGUAAUAGGAUAUAUAUAUAUUAUAAAUUAUAGUGCACGGGCCAUCAUAAUUUUUAAUCUCACUUUCAGCAAGCUUUCGCGAAAACCCUAGAUCCUCCAUUUGUUUCAUUUGCUCUUUAUAAGCGUUAGCAUGAUCUUUAUUCUUCUUGAGCCUCUUUUCUGUUGCUUCUAACAGAUGUAGAGCUUGCUGUCGGUUGUCGGCAAGUAAUUUUGGAUCAUUUCUCCAAGGGUACGUCAUUAACCACCUGUUGUUUAUCAAUUUACAUCCAUCCUCGAUUAAUUUAGAUUCAUCUUGUUCUAUUUUGCUUAGGCGGGGCGUUUCAAGCUUCAUGUUUACUCCCAAGCUUUCAGUAAUCCAAAAAUCUGUAAGAUCAACGGGUGUUGUAAACUGUACAUGAAACACCUGAUUGGUUUGUUGUGUACCGGGUAUUGCUCUAAACAAAACCCAUCCAAGAGGCGAAUGACGUGCAGCGAUACCUUCAGUCAAAUAUCAAACGCGUUUGAGAUUUGACUCAUCUUUCACGAAUGACAAAUGUUGUUCAAAACUUCCGCGCGCACUAGGAAGUUUUUUCGAUCACACUUGUCACGAAUAAAAAGUACGCGCUGCAAGUUCACAAGUGUGCGGCGGGCUUAAGAGAGUAAGUCGUUGACAAGUACCACAAUCAACCUUCGGUUGACAAUUCAAGUUUUUUCUUCAAGGCAGAACGUUAGCUAUAAAAUACAAACACCUUCAAGGCAAUCAAAACUUUACAAAUUUCAACCAAAAUCACGAAAUGAGGACGAUUCUGUUUAAUUUUGUUCGCUGAUUUUUCACUGUCAUUGAGAAAUAUGGCGAGUCGGCCGACAACAUAUUGAGGACUACUCGACACACUUCCAACAAGAACAAGACAACAGGCACAAAAUAAGGAUUGUAACAGAAGCGCCACUCAGAGAAAAAUUUGUCCCCCACUUGCACCCUGUUCUCAAAUGCGCAUCCGUUGCGUCCGCCAUUACUCCAGCCAGAUAAACUGGCCAGAAUGCAUAUAUGUUAAUAUUAUGGAGAGUUGUUUUCGAAAAUUUGACGAAUGUAGAUUCACUUAUGGACAAAAUUUUUGAUGCCAUCGGACAGGAUACCAAGGAUAUGAGUAAAGAGUUUCCUAUUUGAAUGGUCAAUGGAUUUGUUAGAAGCGAUAAAACGACAUACUGUGCGUAAAGAACGUUCUUCAGAUGAAGACGUUAUUAGUAUAGAAUUUGGAAUAAACUACUUUAUUUUUGAUGCUUGAAUUGGGACUUUUCAUUUGCAAUGUAGUUUGUCUGCAUAAUUGUAAUUGAAAGUUCUUAUUUGUAAUUGUAAAUCGAGUUCCUAUAGCUAUCAUGUCGUCAUGUUUGUAUUAACUUACAAAUAAAGAUUUUUUUAAUAACAAUAUAUGAAAUUGCAAUUAUUUAAAGGAUGAAGUUAUUGAUAAAUUGUUUCAAUUAAAUUAACAACUUUGUCAUUAUGUCAAACAUAUUGUCAAACUCCUA
Molecule: long non-coding RNA, 2095 nt
Organism: Xenia sp. Carnegie-2017
Lineage: Eukaryota; Metazoa; Cnidaria; Anthozoa; Malacalcyonacea; Xeniidae
Exons: 3
Source: RefSeq, a predicted model, not a curated record